This 231-nucleotide unclassified non-coding RNA is filed under the name uncultured fungus. RNAcentral describes it as "sequence contains ITS1, 5.8S rRNA gene". The stretch from base 183 to 231 matches the Rfam family "5.8S ribosomal RNA", at positions 1 to 49 of the family's 154-position model. The record is from RNAcentral. Lineage: Eukaryota; Fungi.
UCUCCGUAGGUGAACCUGCGGAGGGAUCAUUACUGAGUGAGGGUCUCCGGGCCCGACCUCCAACCCUUUGUGAAUCGUACUCGUUGCUUCGUGGGCGACCCUGCCGGCACUCGGUCGCCGGGCGCCCCCGAAGGUCUCCCAACACUGCAUCUUUGUGUCGGAGUUUGAAACAAAUUAAACAAAACUUUCAACAACGGAUCUCUUGGUUCUGGCAUCGAUGAAGAACGCAGC